RNAcentral lists this long non-coding RNA (1680 nucleotides) under Marmota monax (woodchuck). Lineage: Eukaryota; Metazoa; Chordata; Mammalia; Rodentia; Sciuridae. The record is from RNAcentral.
GCAGAAACUGGGAAGAUGAGUAGGAGUUAAGCAGGUGAAGUUGUGCCGCAGUCUGGCUGGGCACAAAAUCACGAGCCACUCACAGCCUUGUAGAUUCAAACAGCAAUUCUUUAUUCCUGAACUCACACCGGCACUCUACAAACACGUUCUAGGCCAAUCCACACCUCCACUGGGCUCUGUAUCCCAAAAUACUCUCUGAAUCCUGCGAGAACUCAACGGGAACUCAAGGAGCGGGCGUGCCUGAGGCAGAAGGAUACUCCCUAUUCCCAGCAGGAUACACCCUAAACCUGGAUCCGCCCUGGUCCUUGAGCAAGGUCACCUUUCAUGCAAAGUCACUGCAAAUGAUCUGGGUCCACAAUGGAGAGUCCUUCCUCUAAGCAACAUGGGGUAGGCUGAUGAAGAAAUUGCCAUGCGUCAUUCCUACUUGGCAAUGGCUCUCAGCAAAGUUGGAGGUGAGUGGUGAAGAAAGUGGUCCAGGCAGGAGAAGCUGCAUCACACACUUUUGGAGACCUUCCUGUGUAUUAUGUUUCAAGCCAAAUCACUUCUGUGAUAUUGGAUUCCCAGCCUGCCAUAGAGUAUCAUAUGGGGAUAGGGAAGAGGUUUGUGGUGUGGAAGAGGAGGCAUUUGAGGUGCGUGCCACAGGGUGGGCAAGCUGCCUAUCCAUCUGACAAUGAGGAAGAGGCACAUACUCUUCUGGAUGUUCAUAUCUGUUCUGAUUCUUAUCUGUUGGAUGCCCUUAGGCAGAUUAUGUUUUAUCUAAAGUUGAUAAAGUAUGAAAUUCAAGGGUAAAAGUUUUAUAGUUAAGAUGAUUCUUAUCUGUUCUGAUUCUUAUCUGUUGGCUGACCUUAGGCAGAUUAUGUAUCAUCUAAAGUUGAUAAAGUAUGAAGUUCAAGGGUAAAAGGGAAAAAAAAGAGCCAGAGUGAGACAAACAAGGUGAGUGCAUGCAUGAUCUUGAAAACCACCUGCAGCAAACUAAAUUUUGUCAACAACCAUGGGGGAAACCAAUGGUAUGCCAACAGGGAUGUGGUGUGAUGUUAGCAGAGUCCCAGGUGAGAGGUCAUAUAAAGGUAACAGCCAUAAUAAUCUUGGUGGUCCCUGACUGACUGGAAGGAAAUUUUUCCUCAUGGUGGAGGUGAGUGGAGACAACAGAGCCAUCUUAGAGUCCAGGUUUACAAUAUUAGGUAGUUUUGAGAUCAUCCAAGAACAGUAACUGUUCUAGGAAUUUUUCCAAGGACAAAAGGCAAAUAGAGCUUCAGGCACAAAGAUAUUUAUCAAAACAUUAUUUACCUACACAUAUUCAAAUUUUGGAAAAAGAAGAGGAGGAUUAAAUCAAUUAUAUUAUACCCCUAAGUGAAAUAUCAAGGAGCCAUUGAUAUAAAGUCACAGGGAUUCUUUUAAAGACAAGAGAAGAUGUUUAUGUCGCAAGUGAAAAAGGCAAGUUCUUACUUAUAACAAGAGCUUUUAUGCUUGUGUGUAUAUAUGUGAAUUACACUCUAAUUCUUAUUUCCCUUUUUUAAUAUUUGUAAUUUUGACAAUGAACAUACAUUUCUUUUAUCAUUGAAAAUGUUAUUUGUAAUGCAAAAUAUUUUGAUGACAGUGACCAGCCAUGAACCCUUCCACAAUCACUCAGAGAGUUUCAGAUUUCAUUCAUGGAUUGAAGAGGGGUUAUUCAAUAAAUAU